Molecule: long non-coding RNA, 942 nt
Filed under: Callithrix jacchus (white-tufted-ear marmoset)
Lineage: Eukaryota; Metazoa; Chordata; Mammalia; Primates; Cebidae
Description: lncRNA (ENSCJAG00000075616.1)
Source: RNAcentral
CUGAAGAUCCAAAAAUUAUCUUGAGAGAAGUCAUUAAUUUUUACUCUCAUCGUUGUGCAUGUAUAUUGUUUUGUUUUUCAGAUGAGCAAAUAGGUGAAUGGAUAUGAAUGAAUGAAAGAAACUGAACUAUAGAUGUGCUAUGAUAUUUGACACCACAAGAAUGAAUAAAUUCUACAAGAAAAUGUGAAAAGAGAAAAGUGCAUAAAUAAGAAUUGAAUCUUAUGAUUUUUCAUCCGUCUAUGUAAAGAUGGGGUUUCCUGAUGUUGUUCAUACUGGUCUUGAACUCCUGGCAUCAAGUGAUCCACCUGCCUCGGCCUCUCAAAGUGCUGGAAUUAUGGUCGUGAGCCACCAUGCCUAGGCUCAUCUUCAUUUUACAGGUAAAACUGAGGUCCUUGAGGAAUUACCACACUGUCUUCCACAAUGGUUGAACUAAUUUACAUUCCCACCCACUGCAUAAGAGUGUUUCUGUUUCUCCACAUCCUCUCCAGCAUCGGUUGUCUCCAGAUUUUUAAAUGAUCGCCAUUCUAACUAGCGUGAGUAUAAUGAGAAGCACUCCAAGUGAGAAGAUAAGCGGUACAAAACCCAAUUCCCCAGGGAACACCAGCAUUCAAGGACACAGAGAGGAAAUGGAACAUGAGGCAGAUCCUUACUUCCCAAGGAGAAAGGGAAGACAAGCUGAGAGGCAUCAGAAAGUCCAAAGGAGGUGAGCAUUUCAGGGAGGAGUGAGCAAGUGUCAUAUGCAGUUGCAAGAUUAAGCAAAUACAAACAGUAAAGGAUUUUUAAAGUAGCAGGUAGGUAUACAGCAAAAUACAACUUCUCACAUUCUAUUUUCUCAGAUGAGGAAUUGUUGUGUUUUAAAAUAAAAAAUUAUGAUUACUACUAAGUUACUGUAAGUUCCAUUUCUCCAAACCAGUAAAAGGCAAGAGAGCAAAUAUGUGUUGG